CUGGUGUCUGUGACAUGUCUGGUGUCUUGUCAUUCUGACAUUUCUGGUGUCUGAUUAUUGUGACGAUUUCGUACUUUGGGGGUAUGGGGUGUGUGAAUGGUAUAGGGAAAGGCUUAGAAGGAAAGGGAGCUGUAGCAGGUGGGGUGAGGAUGGAGGAGGAGGGUGGGUCGCUGUUUCUUGAUGCCGCAGGUGUUCGUCGUGUUGUUAGUGCAUUUCUUUCGGCCUGUCUUGCCCCCGGGGUCCUGUAGACCUGUCAAGUCCGCACUUCCUAGUAGCUGGACUAGACUGCAGAAGUGAAAGGGGAGAGGGAGAAUAAAGAGCUGCAGCUGUUCAUCCUGAGUUCACUAGCACGUGCCUUGUAAUCAUCUACUGGGAAUUAACUUCUCCCAAACUGAGUUAACCGCUGGAGACGAAAGAAUUAACUUGAGUGGAGACUGCACUUGCUUUCAUGGAUUGCGGAUCGAAACUCUACCUGAAUU
Long non-coding RNA from Pomacea canaliculata, 479 nucleotides. RefSeq lists it as uncharacterized. NCBI's taxonomy places the organism in Eukaryota, Metazoa, Mollusca, Gastropoda, Architaenioglossa, Ampullariidae. The transcript has 3 exons. The record is from RefSeq and is a predicted model, not a curated record.